This 253-nucleotide ribosomal RNA is filed under the name uncultured bacterium. Its description in RNAcentral is "partial 16S ribosomal RNA". It matches the Rfam family "Bacterial small subunit ribosomal RNA", at positions 524 to 776 of the family's 1533-position model. The record is from RNAcentral.
UACGUAGGGGGCGAGCGUUGUCCGGAUUUAUUGGGCGUAAAGAGCUCGUAGGCGGGCGUGUAAGUCGGAUGUGAAAUCCCCAGGCUUAACCUGGGAACUGCAUUCGAAACUACAUGUCUUGAAUACUCUAGAGGUUGGUGGAAUUCCAGGUGUAGAAGUGAAAUUCGUAGAUAUCUGGAGGAAUAUCAGAGGCGAAGGCGACCGACUGGGGAAGUAUUGACGCUGAGGUGCGAAAGCGUGGGGAGCAAACAGG